UGCGUCUACGCCCACACUGCAGCCCUGCUUACAUUCGUAGUGGAGCAGAUGGACAGAUUCCAGUGCAGUCUGAAAUGUCAAUAAACCGGAGAUGUCUUUAAUGAGGGUACAAGCAUCAUAUUAUGAAGGCAUUCCAGAGCUAUUGUGAGCACACAGGGUCAUUUUUAUGUCCACAUUGCAAUGAAUACAUUGCUAAUACUCACAUACUCUAAUUAAAGAUGAUAUGAACUCUGCCAUAUUGCACCGAGGACGUCAUUAAGAGAUAGAGUCCAAUACAAACACACUCAACCAAUCGCAGGUCACUCUCUGCUGUUAAUCGUGAUGUUCAUCCCGAACAUCAAAUAGUAUGUGAUGUAGCAUAUGUAAAUUGUGGGAACACUCUACUUUCAAGCCUUCAGAGCUGACCAUUAGCUGCUAAUGUGCUAGGCAGAUUUCACAUGCUGCAGCAGCACAAUAUUACCGUCAGAACUUUUGAAGAGAAAACAUGUUGGUGCCAUUCAUCUUCCUCUGGUGGAUUGGUUCAAAUACUUUUAAUGACUGUUGGUGCCCUGACUCAACGAGGAGGGAGAAUGCCACAGUGGACAAGAGACCCAUAGGUUGAUUGUAGAGAGGAAGCUGAAGUUGCAUACACGAAGCAGUGAAGCAAAAAAGUUUGGGUUCAUAAGCAUAAAAACAACUUGCUGGAAGAUGUUGAAUUCAGCCCAGUGCAGCUUCUCUGCUGUGACUGACAUAGACUCUGCUGUGGGGGAGAGACACCUCAGGUCACACAGAGGCAUACUCAGCGACCAUGCCGUUUGUAGUAAGUUUGAUCGCACGGGAUGUGGGAAGAGGUUCAGGCGUCGGAAGAAAAUCUGUU
Long non-coding RNA from Pleuronectes platessa (European plaice), 856 nucleotides. RefSeq lists it as uncharacterized. NCBI's taxonomy places the organism in Eukaryota, Metazoa, Chordata, Actinopteri, Pleuronectiformes, Pleuronectidae. The record is from RefSeq and is a predicted model, not a curated record. The transcript is spliced from 2 exons.